CGCCCUUAGAGUUUGAUCCUGGCUCAGAACGAACGCUGGCGGCGUGGAUAAGACAUGCAAGUCGAACGGGAUCUUGAAUGUAGCAAUACAAUCAAGGUUCAGUGGCGUAAGGGUGAGUAACACGUGGGCAAUUUGCCGGAAAGUGGGGAAUAGCUCGCCGAAAGGCGAAUUAAUACCGCAUGUGGCCAUUCUCCGCAUGGAGAAAAAGCCAAAGCUGGGGAUCGCAAGACCUGGCGCUUUCCGAUGAGCCCGCGGCCUAUCAGCUUGUUGGCGGGGUAAUGGCCCACCAAGGCAAUGACGGGUAGCUGGUCUGAGAGGACGACCAGCCACACUGGAACUGAGACACGGUCCAGACACCUACGGGUGGCAGCAGUCGAGAAUCUUUCUCAAUGGGGGAAACCCUGAAGGAGCGACGCCGCGUGGAGGAUGAAGGUCUUCGGAUUGUAAACUCCUGUCAUGAGAGAACAAGGUCUUCCGGUGAACAGCCGGAAGGAUUGAUAGUAUCUCAAGAGGAAGAGACGGCUAACUCUGUGCCAGCAGCCGCGGUAAUACAGAGGUCUCAAGCGUUGUUCGGAUUCAUUGGGCGUAAAGGGUGCGUAGGCGGCGAGGUAAGUCGGGCGUGGAAUCCCGGGGCUCAACCCCGGAACUGCGUUCGAUACUGCUUCGCUAGAGGACUGGAGAGGAGACUGGAAUUCACGGUGUAGCAGUGAAAUGCGUAGAUAUCGUGAGGAACACCGGGUGGCGAAGGCGGGUCUCUAGACAGUUCCUGACGCUGAGGCAC
RNAcentral lists this ribosomal RNA (781 nucleotides) under uncultured bacterium. RNAcentral's name for it is "bacterial SSU rRNA". It matches the Rfam family "Bacterial small subunit ribosomal RNA", at positions 1 to 754 of the family's 1533-position model. The record is from RNAcentral.